RNAcentral lists this ribosomal RNA (468 nucleotides) under uncultured bacterium. Its description in RNAcentral is "partial 16S ribosomal RNA". It matches the Rfam family "Bacterial small subunit ribosomal RNA", at positions 28 to 507 of the family's 1533-position model. The record is from RNAcentral.
GACGAACGCUGGCGGCGUGCUUAACACAUGCAAGUCGAACGGAAAGGCCCUGCUUUUGUGGGGUGCUCGAGUGGCGAACGGGUGAGUAACACGUGAGUAACCUGCCCUUGACUUUGGGAUAACUUCAGGAAACUGGGGCUAAUACCGGAUAGGAGCUCCUGCUGCAUGGUGGGGGUUGGAAAGUUUCGGCGGUUGGGGAUGGACUCGCGGCUUAUCAGCUUGUUGGUGGGGUAGUGGCUUACCAAGGCUUUGACGGGUAGCCGGCCUGAGAGGGUGACCGGGGACAUGGGGACUGAGAGACGGCCCAGAAGCCUACGGGAGGCAGCAGUGGGGAAUAUUGCACAAUGGGCGGAAGCCUGAUGCAGCAACGCCGCGUGCGGGAUGACGGCCUUCGGGUUGUAAACCGCUUUCGCAGGUGACGAAGAGUGAGUGACGGUAAUGGGUAAAGAAGCACCGGCUAACUACGUG